CUCAGAACAGAAGGGUACACAGCAUGUUAGCAAAGGUCAGCAUGCUUGUGUGUAUUUAUAUGAUCACACCCUCAAGAAUCCUGGCUGAAAGGGGAACAGGAAUAGAAUAGCUUUCUCUUCAACUUCCUUCUUCUAUUGCUACUGAUACUCGAGUCAUGUUAUUAGAGCUACACGUCUGAAGUCAUGUAUUUGGUAUGUGCUCCUGAAAGAAACCUUCCAUGAGCAUCAAUUCAUAUAUGCAGAAAUUGUCGGAGACAUAGAAUAUAUUAUAUUACGUGAAAACAUAUAAUAGGAGUAAUGAAUUCACAAGACUGGUGAUCUAAUUUUGGCUGCCAUACCUGGGAACAUUUCACUAAGCAAGAAGCUGAUAACUUUACCUUGAUAUAUGCAAUUCACUUUCCUUCGAAUGAGAUGACCUAAAGACCACUACAAAUUUGUUCAGAUUGAUGAAGUAUAAUUGUCCUAAUUUAUAUAUAUAAAAGGUUAUUGGUAUAAACAUAGUCAAUUUGUAUUAAAUAGACUUAAAGAAGCAGUUUGUAUUUCAAGUUAGUAUUUCAUAAGCCUGUGUAGUGUUAAAAGUUUAUUUUUGUAUGCUAAGGAUUUUAUUUAAAGCAAUUGUCCACUGUAAGAAUAUAUGUACUUUAGUACCCUAAUUAGAAUUGUAUUGCUGGAUAUUAGUAGCUGUGAUAUUUUAAUCUCAUUGUGUUAACUGAAUGAAAUGCUAUUGUAAAUCAGGCUCGCUUUAAAGGUAAACUUUUAUGAGCUUGGCAAGAAGUAUACACUGUCCUAUUGUUUAAAUUAGCUCUGUUAGAAUUGUAUUGCUUGGGUAUUUAGCUGUUAAAGAUCUUGGAAUCUCAUUGUACUAACAAGGUGAACUUUUACUGUGAAUAAGAUAGAUUUUUAUGAAUGUUGCAUAGCCUAUUUGAAUGGUUUUAAACGCAUAUAGUGUCGACUCAUAUUCUAAUUCUCACAAAUAUUUAUGUAUCAACAUGUUCAUAGUUAUUUACUAAUAAUAAAGAAUUCAGAUAUUUAUAUUAA
Molecule: long non-coding RNA, 1038 nt
Organism: Bombina bombina (fire-bellied toad)
Lineage: Eukaryota; Metazoa; Chordata; Amphibia; Anura; Bombinatoridae
Exons: 4
Source: RefSeq, a predicted model, not a curated record